Non-coding RNA from Cinara cedri, 201 nucleotides. NCBI's taxonomy places the organism in Eukaryota, Metazoa, Arthropoda, Insecta, Hemiptera, Aphididae. The record is from the annotation of a GenBank genome assembly.
AAAUUAAUUAGUAUUGUAUACACCUAGAAAUUCUUUUAACAGGUUUCCUACCUUAAAUGUAGAGAGACCUCUUCUCUCUUAGGUUUUCUUUAAUUACGUUUUUUAUCAACAAAUCAUGCUUAUUUCAAUAAUACCAACUUUGUUUGCGAGAUGCAUAUAUAAUACGGAAACGGGGCGUAUGCAAUAAUAAUUAACACAGUA